RNAcentral lists this ribosomal RNA (486 nucleotides) under uncultured bacterium. RNAcentral describes it as "partial 16S ribosomal RNA". It matches the Rfam family "Bacterial small subunit ribosomal RNA", at positions 30 to 507 of the family's 1533-position model. The record is from RNAcentral.
AUUGAACGCUGGCGGCAUGCCUUACACAUGCAAGUCGAACGGCAGCACGGGUGCUUGCACCUGGUGGCGAGUGGCGAACGGGUGAGUAAUACAUCGGAACAUGUCCUGUAGUGGGGGAUAGCCCGGCGAAAGCCGGAUUAAUACCGCAUACGAUCUACGGAUGAAAGCGGGGGACCUUCGGGCCUCGCGCUAUAGGGUUAGCCGAUGGCUGAUUAGCUAGUUGGUGGGGUAAAGGCCUACCAAGGCGACGAUCAGUAGCUGGUCUGAGAGGACGACCAGCCACACUGGGACUGAGACACGGCCCAGACUCCUACGGGAGGCAGCAGUGGGGAAUUUUGGACAAUGUGCGAAAGCCUGCUCCAGCAAUGCCGCGUGUGUGAAGAAGGCCUUCGGGUUGUAAAGCACUUUUGUCCGGAAAGAAAUCCUUGGCCCUAAUACGGUCGGGGGAUGACGGUACCGGAAGAAUAAGCACCGGCUAACUACGUG